This 1386-nucleotide ribosomal RNA is filed under the name uncultured bacterium. RNAcentral's name for it is "bacterial SSU rRNA". It matches the Rfam family "Bacterial small subunit ribosomal RNA". The record is from RNAcentral.
AGAGUUUGAUCCUGGCUCAGGACGAACGCUGGCGGCGCGCCUAACACAUGCAAGUCGAGCGAUGAAGCUUAAAAGAUUUCUUCGGAAUGAAAUUAAGUGGAUUAGCGGCGGACGGGUGAGUAACACGUGAGUAACCUGCCUUUGACACAGGGAUAGCCUCGGGAAACAGGGAUUAAUACCUGAUGAAACAGAAUAAUCGCAUGAUUAAUCUGUUAAAGUGAAUUAGCGGUCAAAGAUGGACUCGCGUCUGAUUAGCUGUUGGUGAGAUAACAGCCCACCAAGGCAACGAUCAGUAACCGGCCUGAGAGGGUGAACGGUCACAUUGGAACUGAGACACGGUCCAAACUCCUACGGGAGGCAGCAGUGGGGAAUAUUGCACAAUGGGGGAAACCCUGAUGCAGCGACGCCGCGUGAGCGAUGAAGGUUUUCGAAUCGUAAAGCUCUGUCCUAUGGGAAGAUAAUGACGGUACCAUAGGAGGAAGCCCCGGCUAACUACGUGCCAGCAGCCGCGGUAAUACGUAGGGGGCUAGCGUUGUCCGGAAUUACUGGGCGUAAAGGGUUCGCAGGCGGAAAUGCAAGUCAGAUGUGAAAGGCAGAGGCUUAACCUCUGUAAGCAUCUGAAACUGUAUUUCUUGAGAUGUGGAGAGGCAAGUGGAAUUCCUAGUGUAGCGGUGAAAUGCGUAGAUAUUAGGAGGAAUACCAGUGGCGAAGGCGACUUGCUGGACACAAACUGACGCUGAGGAACGAAAGCGUGGGUAGCAAACAGGAUUAGAUACCCUGGUAGUCCACGCUGUAAACGAUGAGUGCUAGGUGUCGGGGGUGACCUCGGUGCCGCAGUUAACACAAUAAGCACUCCGCCUGGGGAGUACGUACGCAAGUAUGAAACUCAAAGGAAUCGACGGGGACCCGCACAAGCAGCGGAGCAUGUGGUUUAAUUCGAAGCAACGCGAAGAACCUUACCAGGACUUGACAUAAUGGUGACCGGUAUAGAGAUAUACCUUUCUCUUCGGAGACAGUAUUACAGGUGGUGCAUGGUUGUCGUCAGCUCGUGUCGUGAGAUGUUGGGUUAAGUCCCGCAACGAGCGCAACCCUUAUCUUUAGUUGCCAGCACGUAAAGGUGGGAACUCUAAAGAGACUGCCGUCGAUAAGACGGAGGAAGGUGGGGAUGACGUCAAAUCAUCAUGCCCUUUAUGUCCUGGGCUACACACGUGCUACAAUGGCUGGCACAAAGAGAAGCAAAACAGUGAUGUCAAGCGAAUCUCAUAAAGCCAGUCUCAGUUCGGAUUGUAGGCUGCAACUCGCCUACAUGAAGUCGGAGUUGCUAGUAAUCGCAGAUCAGAAUGCUGCGGUGAAUGCGUUACCGGGUCUUGCACACACCGCCCGUCA